UGAAUGUUUACGAGUAGAGUUGAAGCGG
RNAcentral lists this non-coding RNA (28 nucleotides) under Bombyx mori (domestic silkworm). Lineage: Eukaryota; Metazoa; Arthropoda; Insecta; Lepidoptera; Bombycidae. The record is from RNAcentral.